CCUACGGGAGGCUGCAGUGAGGAAUAUUGGUCAAUGGGCGCAAGCCUGAACCAGCCAAGUCGCGUGAGGGAAGACGGUCCUAUGGAUUGUAAACCUCUUUUGUCGGGGAGCAAGACACGCCACGCGUGGCGUUCCGGGAGUACCCGGAAGAAAAACAUCCGCCUAAUCCCUGGCCAGCAGCGGCGGUAAUACGAGGGUUGUAAGCGUUACCCGGAUUUAUUGGGUUUAAGGGGUGCGAAGGCGGAAGGUCAAGUCAGCGGUAAAAUGUAGGGGCUCAACCUCUUCGAGCCGUUGAAACUGGUCUUCUUGAGUGAGCGAGAAGUAUGCGGAAUGCGUGGUGUAGCGGUGAAAUGCAUAGAUAUCACGCAGAACUCCGAUUGCGAAGGCAGCAUACCGGCGCUCAACUGACGCUCAUGCACGAAAGUGUGGGUAUCGAACAGGAUUAGAUACCCCAGUAGUC
Molecule: ribosomal RNA, 460 nt
Filed under: uncultured bacterium
Lineage: Bacteria
Description: partial 16S ribosomal RNA
Rfam family: Bacterial small subunit ribosomal RNA
Source: RNAcentral